This is a long non-coding RNA of Nematostella vectensis (starlet sea anemone), 1266 nucleotides long. RefSeq lists it as uncharacterized. The transcript is spliced from 2 exons. The record is from RefSeq and is a predicted model, not a curated record. Lineage: Eukaryota; Metazoa; Cnidaria; Anthozoa; Actiniaria; Edwardsiidae.
GCACGGGUAAUAGACUGUGCUAGCGUCCCGUCUUGGCCCGACUGGUGCCAAUGUGUGUAUGCUAGUGUGCUUCUAAAGUUCGAAAGAAUUAAAAUAGAUUUCCAAUUAUAUUCCUAUUUUCAGUCCUUCUUUAGCUUUUACAGGUUUUACAGGUUUGUUAGCGGGGCCAGCGCGGCCGUAGGCCGCGCGCGGAGCCCCAUAGGUAUAGAAAUGGUCUAUAACUAGGCGACUCAGUUUUUGUGGUCAAUGACGUCGUUGUCACAAGCUGCCAGCAGUGAUCUGCCUCGGCACAGGCCUCCAGAGCGCGCAAAACAAUAUGGCGGAUGAGUAUUUUUGCCCCUCUCAAAAACACACGAAAACUGACUGCAGAAAAGCCAAGAAUUGUUGAAAAAGAAGUGCUUGAAAAAAAAAAUUCAUUCGUGGGAAUGCUAACCACGGAUAUGAAUUUGUCUAAUUAUGUGCAAAAGACUGUGUAAAAGCAUGGUUGAAAGUUUUCAAGAGUCAAGUCUCGAGUCAAGGUCAGCUGAAAUGUCAGAGGAAGCCACAAGAUAAAGAAAGAAAAAACAAGCUAAUUUUAUGGACACCUCCGACAAGUGCUCCUAUGUAUUUGUUCUUGCACUGGCAGACGUAGGUUAAUCUCAGCCAGAGAUUCUGAAAUCAAGCUGAGACACAAGCUGCUGGCUAAGAGGCAUGACCCAGAGCAGGAUGUACAUAUAAGGCAUUGGUAUUUAAUGUAGGUCACCAAAAAUAAACACAUAUAAAGUAACAAAAAGUAAGAUAAUAUUUUAAUUGAAAAAUUGUUCUAAGAAAAAUGAACCAGAGUUAUAAAAGUAAAAAACCUAGUUUUCCAAGUUAGCCUGACAGGUUCUUGUAUAAUGUGUGGUUAGUGACAUUUAGGCUAUUUAGGUUCAUAAAUAGUCUCUUUCUAUUACAAUGAAUCAUGGUAAAGUAAUUGAGGUAGUAAGUUAAUCAUAAAAAAAACAAAAACAGAUAUCCUAUAUGAUCCCUUAAGAUCCUAUUUAAAACUAUUUAGAAUUCAUUUUACCUAUUUCAAAUUAUAGGCUAAAUAGAUGCUUAUAAAAAGGAUUCUAAUUUGAUAAUUUUAGGUUAACAGGUUCAUUCUAGGUUUUUAUAUGUGGUUCUUAACUGUAUAAUAAAAUAAUGUACUCAGAAUUUUUUCAAAUAUGUUGGAGUGCUUUUAAUCCACCCUUAGCAAAGUUACAUUCUAAAGCACAAGAGAGAAGGUUAAUAAAGAUAUUUUUCCAA